RNAcentral lists this ribosomal RNA (250 nucleotides) under uncultured bacterium. RNAcentral describes it as "partial 16S ribosomal RNA". It matches the Rfam family "Bacterial small subunit ribosomal RNA", at positions 524 to 773 of the family's 1533-position model. The record is from RNAcentral.
UACGAAGGGAGCUAGCGUUGUUCGGAAUUACUGGGCGUAAAGGGCGCGUAGGCGGUUCGGCAAGUUGGAUGUGAAAGCCCAGGGCUCAACCCUGGAAUUGCAUUCAAGACUGCCUUACUUGAAUUCGGUAGAGGUUGGUGGAAUUCCCAGUGUAGAGGUGAAAUUCGUAGAGAUUGGGAAGAACACCCGUGGCGAAGGCGGCCAACUGGACCGACAUUGACGCUGAGGCGCGAAAGCGUGGGGAGCAAAC